RNAcentral lists this ribosomal RNA (472 nucleotides) under uncultured bacterium. Its description in RNAcentral is "bacterial SSU rRNA". It matches the Rfam family "Bacterial small subunit ribosomal RNA", at positions 8 to 507 of the family's 1533-position model. The record is from RNAcentral.
AGAGUUUGAUCAUGGCUCAGGAUGAACGCUGGCGGUGUGCCUAACACAUGCAAGUCGAGCGAUUCUCUUCGGAGAAGAGCGGCGGACGGGUGAGUAACGCGUGGGUAACCUGCCCUGUACACACGGAUAACAUACCGAAAGGUACGCUAAUACGAGAUAAUAUGCUUUUAUCGCAUGGUAGAAGUAUCAAAGCUCCGGCGGUACAGGAUGGACCCGCGUCUGAUUAGCUAGUUGGUAAGGUAGCGGCUUACCAAGGCGACGAUCAGUAGCCGACCUGAGAGGGUGAUCGGCCACAUUGGAACUGAGACACGGUCCAAACUCCUACGGGAGGCAGCAGUGGGGAAUAUUGCACAAUGGGCGAAAGCCUGAUGCAGCAACGCCGCGUGAGCGAUGAAGGCCUUCGGGUCGUAAAGCUCUGUCCUCAAGGAAGAUAAUGACGGUACUUGAGGAGGAAGCCCCGGCUAACUACGUG